UUUACAACAUAGUACUCUUACUUAGGAUUCAGAAUGGCUGGAGAAAGAAACAUGACAUGUGAGAGGCAAGGCGAUGGGUGCUACAACAGCUAAUUCAGGAAACCUCCUUGCCUUCCUUUGUGACCAAAGGAAACUUGGGAACAAUUCCCACAGAAAGGGCACAGCGACUCAUACAAGAAGAGAUGGAGGUCUGUGGUGAAGCAGCAGGGAGAUACCCAAGCAACUAUAAUGCUUGGUCCCAUCGCAUCUGGGUUUUACAGCACUUGGCCAAGCUAGAUGUCAAGAUUCUUCUUGAUGAACUAUCUUCUACUAAACAUUGGGCAUCUAUGCACGUUUCAGACCACAGUGGAUUUCACUACCGCCAGUUUUUGCUUAAGUCUUUGAUUAGCCAAACUGUGAUAGACAGUUCUGUGAUGGAGCAAAAUCCUUUGAGAAGUGAGCCAGCCCUAGUUCCUCCAAAAGAUGAAGAAGCAGCAGUUUCAACAGAAGAACCAAGGAUUAAUCUUCCCCAUCUUCUAGAAGAAGAAGUUGAAUUCAGCACUGAUCUUAUUGAUUCCUACCCAGGACAUGAAACCCUUUGGUGUCAUAGGCGGCAUAUUUUCUACCUUCAGCAUCACUUAAAUGGUAGGUUUCCUCACAGCAUGACCCAGUUGUCACCUGCAGACAGCCCUGGGGGGACUUUGAGUGACUUGCACCUUAUCCCAGCAGGCUCCCAGCUGUCUCAAGCAAUGGAAGUAGAUGGACUGAAUGACUCUAGCAAGCAAGGCUAUUCCCAGGAAACCAAACGCCUGAAGCGGACGCCAGUUCCAGACUCCCUAGGCCUAGAAAUGGAGCACAGGUUCAUUGAUCAAGUAUUGUCCACCUGUCGGAACGUGGAGCAAGCCAGGUUUGCCAGUGCAUACAGGAAAUGGCUGGUUACUUUGAGUCAAUGAAAGAAGUGAAUUAGUCCUACAAGGUUCCCCUUUUAGUGCAAUAUUGCUUUCUUUUAUUAUUUACAUAGUUGCAUGAACUGUUUACUAUUAUUGGCUAACCAUAUGUUCUUCAUCUUUAGGUUGAAAGUCCAUAGUAAAUCUUUCAUUUUAUUUAUUUUGUUAAUAACUGGCAUUCCUGUGGGGAUAAAAUAAUCGUAUAGUUCCUUCCUGCUGAACAGUGAGUCUUAAAUUUUCUGUUUAACUUCUCACCCUUUGUAUUUCUAUAUGUGGGGCUUCUCAUUUGGUUUUCCUGAUUGGUUCACACACACACACCUCUACCCCCCUCAGUCCAAUUGCUGCAUAGGCAAAUUCUUUUAAAAAUUAAAAAUUUAAGGCCUAGGCAGGAGGAUUGCCUGAGCCCAGGACUUUGAGACCAACCUGGGCCACAUAGCAAGACCCCAUUUCUACAAAAAGUAAAACAAAAUAGCUAGGCAUGGUGCUAUGCAACUGUGUUCCUAGCUAUGCAGGAAGCUGAGGCAGAAGGAUUGCUUGAGCCCCAGGUGUUUGUGGCUGUAGUGAGCCAUGAUUGCACCACUGUACUCAGCCUGGGCAAUAGAGUUGAGACCCUGUCUCUAAAACAAAUUGAAAAUAAACAUUUAUGUUGCAGUUCAACUGAAGAAUGUUGGUAUGAAUGCCAAAUAACUUGAUGUAAUUGUUUUGAGAAUCAAAUGGCUAGAUGGGCGAAUGUUUAAAAAUGUAAACUAGUUCUCUUUCUCUAGCAUGUUCUACCCAAUUACCAAAGUCAGAAGUAUUGGAAUUUAUAUGAAAAAAAUGCUUCCAAUGUAAUCCAUUUUUUAAAUGGUUAUUUUAAAAAAAAACUAAUUUAAGAGUUUAUGUAAUUGCAGUAAAGGAAAAUUAUUUUUAUUGCUAGUUUUGAUAGAUUAUUUUUACCUCAAAUUUGGUAUAUGCCAAAACACAUCAGUCCUUAUAAAAUUGAUUUUCUUUUUUCCUGAAAACCUGGAAUGCCAUUUUUAGCUAUUACUACUUUUUAAUUUCAAAUUCACUUAUGACAAAUGGGAGAAAUAUAUAAAGAAAUAGAUCCAUAAAAAUAUUCCUUUUUAAAAAUCUAAAUUAUUGAGGAUACACUAUGGAAACUAUAAAAUUAUCAUGAAGUGACUGUUAAAGUUUACUGGCAAAUGCCGAGGGAAGGAAUAGUAUGUGCAAAACAAAACACUUUGAUACUGAACUUAAUCAGGGAUGAGGUACCAAAGUAUCCACAUUAUAGCCGUAUCUUAUGUUUUCAAUAACAAGGGCUGAGUUUUUCAGGUAGGUGGGAUGAGGGUGGGGAAUGGGCCAUGUAAUGUCUGCUUUCUUAUAUUUGCCCUUUUGUAAAUGGUCUGUUUCUUCUUUUCAUAUACUUUGUUUUGCCAAUCCAUUACGUAUUUUUUGUCACUUUUGUGUGUCAUUUUUGUAUAUCUUUCCUUUCUUACUUCAGGGGUGUGUCUUCAAGAUUUCUACCCCCUAUUUGCAAUGAAUUUCAUACCUCAUCUAAAAUACAUUCAUAUACCAGAAAUAUGAAGAGUGGCCCUUCUAAAAGUUUCCCUAAUGAUGGAAGCUGUCAGUUGUCCUAUCUGUGCAGAAUGUGAGUAAUAGUGGCAGAAAUAAGUGUGACAACAAUGCUUUGCCUGUUAUUCUUUUUACUUGCUAGGUAAUUUGUAAAGUGGGGAUGAAGAUGUAGGGAAAGUAAACCUCUCUCUCACUGUUACGGAAAGCCUUGACUUGAGUUAGGUAGAUUGCCUUAAGAAGAAGAAAUAUGUCCUUUUCUUUGGCAUCAUGGUUUUGUUGAGUGGCAGACUGUUGAAGUGAGUUGAGACUUAAGAACGCCAGAAAAGUUGUCUAGCCUGGCCCCAGUAGACAGAAUUUGUUCUUCUCUCAAGUAAAAAAUUACCUUUUUAUAGCUUUUAUAUUAUUUAGAUGAAAAAAUACCAUUAUGAACAUAAUUCCAUGGCCCUUUGUGUACAAAGCAUAUUUUGAAUCAAAUACCUCAAGGUCCACCUAGACCUCUAUGGAUAAAAUCAUAAGUUUAUGAUUUUUAGCUCCUGUGAGGGUUUGGGGGCAAACUACACAGAGAAGACAUGGGUGGUUCAGCCCAUUCCACUAAAAUAUGUUGCCAGAUUCUGGCCUAACUCAGUAUUACCUUUUUUCCUAAAAAUCAUUUUUCACAUUUUGAGUAAUAGGGCUUAUGCUUUGAUGUGAAAAAAUGUCAGGAAAUGAGUGUAGACAAUACCCUAUAAAACACUAGCUAAGUUUUAUAGUGCUCCAUGCCUUUGUUUACCUUCCACUGAUUAUCUUGCCCAUCUUUGGUGUAAACUAUUUUCAUAUCUUCUAAGGCUCUUAACCCACUCUUUUCUGAAGCCGCACAGUCCUUUAAUAUGUCUUGUUUCCUUCCUAAAAGUUUAAAGUAGCAAAAAUACAAAUACCCAAAGGAUACUGUUAGUAUGUAACUUUUGUGUGCUGCUUUAUUUCUAGAGUUUGCGUUUUUUAAUUGUUCAUUCACAGAAAAUCCUAAUAUUGCCCUAUAUGGUUGUUUUUUUUCCUAAGUGGUUAAUAUUUAAACCCGCUAGCUGUAGCAUGAUAAUGUCUUUGACUGAGCUCAUGUAGUAGAAAGGAUGUGUCUGUUUUCUGGGACUUAUUAGUCUUCACUUAUUUUUCUAUAACAAUCUAAUUGUUAAAAGGAAAAGAUGGCUUAUUGACACAUAUUUCAUUAAACUUUCACUGGAAGAACAGUGGGUCAUCGUACCAUACUGUGGAUUAAGAAUACUACUGACAAGCAAAAAGCAUUAAGCUCUGUAACUGUCUCCAACACCACCUUCACCCCGCCUUUAGUGUACCUUAGGGUACUUUAGUGUACCUAUUUUGGCAGUACGGUGUUUUCCAGAUUCUACUUGUGCCCUGCACAUUGUGAGGACUCAUUAAAUAUUUAUUAAAUUAAUGAAUGACUAACAAGAAGAGAAAGAUUGUUUGUGAGUGAUAAGAAUGAGUGAUGAUUGAGAAAUUGAUGGAUUAGUGCAAUGGAUUGGGAAUGAAUGAUGCUUUCUAGUUUCGUAAUACUUGGGAAGAGCUAUUGCAUAUAGAAUAAGUUGAUUUAGACUUUUUUUUUCUUCAUUUCAUUACCUUGUUUAAACUUGUUAAAUCCCAGCCAAGAAAUGCAGCUCUGUAAUUGUCAAUUAACUGUAUUAUAAUAUAUAUUAAAAAUUUGUAGAGCUAAAGAACCCACUUGCAUUAAGAACACCACUUUCUGUUCAUUUGUGAUACUAGAGGACAGAUCCUGCAUACAGAGCCGAAACUGCUUUUAAUCAUCUGAAGAAAUUCUUUGAUUUCAGUGACUUACUGAUCUGUACCUGUGCACAUAUCAUCAUUUUAUGCUUCUCCUUUUUUCCCCGCAACUUGAACUGUGACUCUUUCAGAUAUUUCUUAAAUCUGUAUGAGUCAUUUUUUAAGCUUAGGGAUUUGAUAUGUAUUAAUGUCCCCUUUGUCUUCUCUAGAUUUUAGCAUUUUAUUACCUCUUAAGGAACUCUGGGCCCAGACUUUCAGUCAUAUUUCUUAUUCCUAUGGUACAGUUCUCACUUAAAGGCUUAGUUAUUAGUAGGGUUAAAUAUAUACAGGUUAUCUCUAAAAGUACUUAAAUUUUUAAAUAAGGGCUUAUGUGAUACAAGAUACGGAAACAAAAGUUUUUGGAUUUUUAUGCAGUAGUUUGCAGGAAAGCUAAUACAUAGUAGAUCGUAUGCCACUUAGGUAUGUUCAGGUCAUGCCAGUUUAUUCUUGUUGGGCCACACACACAUGUAUGUGUGUGUAAAAGGAAUUUUUAGUAUUGAAGCAAACAAAUUGUCAGUUUAAUAAUUUUCUCUUACAUAGCACAAGAUGGCAGAUACCACCUACUGUACAACAAUCUAAUAAUCCCUACCUUAGUUCCCCUGAGUUAUAGAAGAUGCUAAAGAUUUAGUUGUAAAGGGAAGUAACAUGAUUUUUUUUUUUCUAAAAAGCUGUUUUAAGCUAACUAUUAUUUUGCUACUGGAAAAUUAUAUUUUAAAACUUAACAGAUAUUUAAAGUAUGCUAGAAAAUUUGAACCUGAUAACAACUGAACCUUUUGUCUUGAAUAAAUUUCUCAAAUAGAACUGUGCAAACCCUAGCACUUUAUGUGUUGCUGCCUCCCCAUACCUAGGUAUGCUCUGUAAUAAGCUCCCAUUUAAUGGAGAGAUGUGUGGAGGCACUGAGAAGUUAAUGAAGAAAAAUCAACCCCAAGAAUUCCUUAUUGUCACAUAGUGUCUUUUAAAAAAUAACUGUAGAGACUGUGUUAAUUCGAGUGCCUUUCUUACUUUUUUGGGAGCAAGAUUAUAUUUAAUGUUUAAGAAAACAGGAUGGAAGUCUUAUCAAACAGUUGAUUGUGGCCCAUUGUUUUAUUUAUUCCCAUCGCUAGGCAUGGCCCCGUAGGGUAUUUUAUCCUUCAGUGAGAGACUGAUAUAAUCAGGCAGGAUGCUUUGAUUAUUCCAUUAGUUAUCAUUUUAAGCACCCUACCAAGAUUUAGUUCUUUCUUUCUGGCAACUAACGUUUUGGGGGUUGGAGGCAUCCCAUUUAGAGGAUGGUGUGUGCACAAAUAGAUUAGCCUGAAACCUGCGUCCAAAGGGAAACAGUGGCACUCUGCCCUAAAAUAAAGGCCAGAACGUUGUCCUAAAUGAAUCCUUUGCCUUACUUUAGGACCUUCCUUCCCUCUCAAAUUCAGGCAUAAUGUAAUAUAGUUGAAAGGGGGAAAACAGUACUUGCUUUCUCUCAGAUAUUGGAGGAAAAGAAGUAAAUGCAUAGAUGAAAUUUUAAAUGUAUCAUUUUAUCUGUAUAUGGAGAAGGGAGGGAUAGGAAUUGCAUAUUUCAAGAUAGCAAAUAUAAUUUCAUAGAAAUAUAUAGCUAAAGAUUCCAAAGUGCUUUUACAGAGAACUGUUGAAUAAUAUAUUCCUAAAGGGCAGCAAUAUGCCAUGUUCAUGGUGAAGACAGAAAACCAAUGAAUCAGUUGUGGAUCUCAGGUGGGAGAGGAAACCUCAGGCUCCCAACUUUGACUUCUCUACUCUCACCAGGCCAUGUUAACACUGUAAAACCAAACUCUUUGCUAAGAACAAUACAGGGCAGUAGUUUAGUCUGCUGAUGAAACCUUGUGCUUCCAAGAAUAUUAGCUAUAUAUAAUUUGUGCUUUCUGGACGAUUCUGUUGUCCAGAAAGCUAACCCUGACGUUACUUUUAUUAGUCUGUUGUUAUUCCUCAGGGUGUAGAAGAUUUAGUAAAUUUAGGACAAAUUUUAUAUUCAGUGGCAAAAAGAAAAGGCAAAAAUAUGCUAAAUAUAUUAUUAGCUCUUAAAUUUUAGUAUAGAUCGUAUUUUUUAUAAACUAUUACCAGUACAGUAGCUAGUAGAUAUUCUGUGACUGCCUCAUUGUUUAUCUUGCUGCUUUGGUCCCUAUGGCUCUAGUAUGAACAUUCUCGUGUCUUCUGUGGAAAUGAUUUCUGUGUUAUAGUUCCAUCUUUGGUAGAGGUGGGGAUGAUUGUAUUUUGUUUUAGUUGACAUCAUUCUCAACUUUUAGAAAUACUGUUGAGGAAAAUGAUUACCGUUGGUUUUCAAAUUGACAACUAUUUUGCUUCCAAAGACUUCAGUUUCCCUUUGUUUUAUGUGUAGACCUCAUAUAUGUUCAACACAUUGCAUACUGCCUUGCACAUUGUAGGAAUUCAACAAGUCAAGAGUUGAUAAAAGCUAGAAAGAUAAAACUAGCUUAGCUAUCAUAUCAUCAUUGUCCAUAUUCUUAGCUUUGGGAAAAAUAUACCAUUUUCCAUAAAAUACAUAAUCAGUUUCAAAUGCAUAAGGCAAAGAUAUACAGUUGCACAACAUUGCAAGUGAAAUUUACAAAGGAUUUUUAUUUUUGUGUAUGCUAAAAGUGCUCCUACUUAAAGCAGUUUUCUUUAUUAGACCAACACCUUCCAGCAGAGUUAGAAACCUAACACAAGUGCUCAUUUGUCCAAAUUAACCAGAUAGUUAUGUAAACUGUUCAUAUUAAGUCUUUAGUGGUUUACAAACAAUAACAUUCUGGCUUUUCUUCCAUACCUUUUAGGAAUCAGCCUUAAUUUUAAGUAUGGCAGUCACUUUCCUCAAGGUACUAUGCAGCAUACUUUAGAUUGCUUAUUUAUCAUUAUAAGGUGAUAGGUAAUAAAUUUGAGGUUUACUUGUCAUAUAAUUUCAUAUGGCAGAUAUUGAUUCAAAGAGCAUUCUAUUAGAAAAAGUUGAUAAAUUAUCCUCCCUUACAAAUAUCAUCUUGCAUUUGGAGCAGGUAUUUUUUUCUUAUUAGUUAAAGACUGGGUACAGUUAUAGUAGAUGCUCAAUAAAUGCUUAGUCAGUGAUUGAUCUAACAUCAAACUAACAGCUUUCAGAAAGGAGACUGUUGACAUCUUUUCACCAAGGAGUAUAUUUGUAGAGUAAUAUAUGUGUGGAAUUUUGAAAUUAUAUCAUUUGACAUGAUUUAUGAGGCUUAUUUAGGCUGGAGUUAGUAACAUGUAAUAGAAGUAUUAUUUAUACAGAACAUAGUUGAAAGAUAGGAGACGUGAAAGAUUAAGUAGUAUUUUCUUGUGCAAGGCAUAUUAAUAAAUGUAAUUAAAUGUCUUAAUAAGCAGCUGGCUGAACUCUAGAGAGAACUGCUGUAGUCUUCUGCAAUCAGUCUCUGUAUUGGUAUAUCCAGUAAUAUCGGGUUUAGGUUCUUUUUAUUUUUCCUUAAAUCUUAAACUUGUUUCUAGCGUCUUAAGAGUGGUAAUGGUAAAAUGUGAAGUUACAAUAAACUUCUGCUUGUUUUCUCAGAACAUCUUUGGCAUGAGGAAGAACUUUUUGUGAAUGAUACAGUAGUCUCAGCAUCUGUUAAUUUGUGGUUUUCAAAGCAUUUUUGACAGAGUUUACCUAAUGUAAAAAGAUUAAACAGUUUUAUAAAACACAAAUAAACAUUCCUACCUGAACUGUGAGGAACAGAGUGUAUAGUACAAAUGUAAUUAGGCAUUGCCUCCUGGCGAGGUUCUUGAUGCAUGACUAUGAUGCUGGCUGCUGACUGAGGUGACCACUGUCAGUAUUGUAUUUUGGCAUAUGUUGUUUUUAGGAAAAUAAUGGAAUGCAUUCUUAGAUUAACUUACUGUUUUUGAGUUGGAAAAAAUAAAAGAUGAGGUAUUAUAAGUAUGCCAAAUAUUUAUACACUACAAAAGAUUAAAAAAGGAGAGGGAGAAAAAAAAUCAAAGGCCAGUUAUGAUUUUAAUAGCGUCUAAUUUUUUUUUUGACUCGAAUUUUUUGGACACUAGUCAAUUGCAUAAUUUAACAUGGAGGAGCUUUCAUUUAAAAGAAGUUCUCAGCUACUAUAUUCUGCCAUUAGAAUUCACCAUGCCUGUUAAUUUUACAUUGCUUGAAGAUAUAAGUAAGCUGCCGUCAAUAUUGUUUUAAGAUUUUCUUAUAGUUUAUGUUUAAAUGGAAAAGUUACAUAUAUAAUCUAUGGUGCAGGGUCAGGCAUUGGCCAUUAAAGAUAAGUUUGGCUAACUAUUUUACUGAAGAGACUAAUGGUCUUCCCUCUGUUGUACUGCUAUGUUUCUUGAUCUGUUUUUCCCCAAUGUAACAGUCUACAUUGAAGUCCUUUAGCUCUCUCCAUAUACUAAUUGACAUUUGUUAAGGAUUCAAUAUUUUGUGAAUUCUUUUUACCCUUAAAAUGCAUAUCUUUCAGAGAGAUAAGAAUGAAUUUUGCAAUAAUUUAUAUGCAGAGUGUGCUUAUGGGUUUCUGGGAGUUCAAGUUAGUACCCCAGAGUGCUUAAAAGUAUGAUGCUAAAUUCUAAGGCUAAUGUAAUGACUGUAGAUUAUCUAUAUCCACAUUGUUCAACAGAAAUAUAAUGUGAACCACAACAUAAUAUUUAAUUUUCUAGUAGCCAUAUUAAAAAAGAAACAAGCAAAAUUAAUUUUAAUAACAGUUUAUGUAACCCAGUAUAUUAAAAAUAUCAUUUCAACAUGUAAUCAAUAUAAAAGAUUAUUAAUGAAACACCUUAUCUUCUUUUUCUUCCAUACUAAGUCUUAGAUUUGAGUGUAUUUUGCACUCACAGCACAUCUCAAUUCUGACUGGCCACAUUUUAAGUGCUCAAUAGUCACAUAUGGCUAAGGGCUACUAUACUGGACAGUACAGAUUCAUAGAGUACAAAGUAUGACUUUAACUUUGGAGAUGGUGAGGUAGGCAUGUAAUUAUGGUACUUUAAAAAUUCAGAAUAUUUAGAAAAGCAUCUAAUAGAAUUAUCCACUUGUUUUCCUUCAUCUUCAUUUUAAUAUGUUCUAGAAGUAGGAUCAGCCUGUUCCAAUUUGCCAAGCAUUAUUAAGGAGGAAUAAUUCCAUACCAUGUAAAAUACCAUGAUAUGCUGAUUAUAAUACAUUAACAAAUUUUUAAGUUGCGUUCACUAAAUUCUGUCCUGUUUCUUCAAAAUAAUAUAGCUUAAAUUGCAUGUUAAUUGUAUAUCUUACCUAUUUUGUUUUUAUAUUAUUCUUACAAUAUAAUCAUGUAUAUUAACAAACAGCCCUGGGAUUCUAAUCUUCCUCUGCAACUGUCUUCCAGGACUUACUGGCACUUAUUACACUGUGAUAAGUGGCAGAAAAGUAGAAUGAAAUAUUCUUUUUCCAUUAGAUUUGUUCUUAUGUGACCAUGUACCAAGCCAGCUAUAAAGUAUUGUAUUUCUAUAGAAUAUGGAAAAUAGUAUUUGUCUUACCUUUGCUAAAUGUUUGCAAUUUCUAAGUAAACCUUUUAUCUCCU
This 9757-nucleotide long non-coding RNA is filed under the name Pan troglodytes (chimpanzee). RNAcentral describes it as "long non-coding RNA NONPTRT017812". Lineage: Eukaryota; Metazoa; Chordata; Mammalia; Primates; Hominidae. The record is from RNAcentral.